RNAcentral lists this signal recognition particle RNA (97 nucleotides) under Pseudomonadales bacterium. RNAcentral's name for it is "signal recognition particle sRNA small type". It matches the Rfam family "Bacterial small signal recognition particle RNA". From Rfam's summary of the family: The signal recognition particle (SRP) is a universally conserved ribonucleoprotein involved in the co-translational targeting of proteins to membranes. Archaeal SRP consists of a 7S RNA and homologues of the eukaryotic SRP19 and SRP54 proteins. In most bacteria, the SRP consists of a 4.5S RNA and the Ffh protein (a homologue of the eukaryotic SRP54 protein). The record is from RNAcentral. Lineage: Bacteria; Pseudomonadati; Pseudomonadota; Gammaproteobacteria; Pseudomonadales.
UGUUGGUCCCCUCGCAACGAUAGAUCGUGAACUCCGCCAGGCCCGGAAGGGAGCAACGGUAGCGAUUGAUUCGUGUGCCGGGGUGUGGCUGGUGGGG